UAAUUUUAUGUAUAAGCUAGU
RNAcentral lists this microRNA (21 nucleotides) under Pan troglodytes (chimpanzee). RNAcentral's name for it is "ptr-miR-590". Its record names the gene ptr-miR-590. The record is from miRBase by way of RNAcentral. RNAcentral also lists the same sequence under 9 other names. Lineage: Eukaryota; Metazoa; Chordata; Mammalia; Primates; Hominidae.